CCAGUCUCAGUGAGAUGAGCCAGGUACCUCAGUUGGAAAUGCAGAAAUCACCCACCUUCUGCAUUGAUCUCGCUGGGAACUGCAGACUGAAGCGGUUCCUAUUUGGCCACCUUGCCAGCCCAUCUCGAACAUCAUCUAAAAGGACUGGACCUACAUCUGCAGUUAACUGCACAAUGGAAGAAACGGCCUCUCCUGGGCAGCCUCAUGGAUGGGGUGAAGAGACAAAGCUUGGGAGUGUAGCAUGUUGAGCACAUCUGCUCAGAGGUAACAUUUAAGCAAUAUCAGCUGAGGUUUCCCAAGCUCCCUAAAAUCUACAGAAGUUCGGCUCAAACCCCUAUCCCAGAUGCUGGAGAUGACCAAGUUCUCCAGAAACACGUAGCAAAUUCCAGGGUGGGAAGGAGAAUCUGAGCAAGGAGACAACGAUUACAUUCUCAUGGUCACUUGUCUCUUGAGCUAGUGCUUUAUUGGAAUUAGUUUAUUCUGUUAAGAGUUUCCCAAAUGUCCUGUCUUUAUGUUACACUCACAACAAAACAGACAUAAAGCACUGGCUUAGCCUCCAGUUCCACAGGAGCCUCAUCAACCCAUGCCUUCAACUGACGCCUAAGCUGAGACUAAAGAAGAUGGUAACCAAGUGAAGAGAUGGAGGUUUGGAGUGUCCAAGCAGAGAAACUACAUGUGGAAAUGCAUCGAAGCAAGAAAGAGCAUGACAUCUUCUUAGUACUGAAAGAAAAUACGACUGGACUUCAAAUAUUUUCUCAUUCGUGGGGUUAAGAGGCCUCAGAAGCAGUGUAUUCUCCCCAUCUGACCCUCCGGAUGGUUCCAGGCCAAGCGUCUCUCAGGGAAGGCUGGUUUCUCUCAACGCCCCCUUUCUGUCUGUGUUUCUUGGUUACCAGACUUGCUUACUUUGUACUAUCCUCAGAGCCCAUGACUUCCUCUGCUUUUUUCCCUAUGGAACCUUCCUUUUCUCAAAAGUGCUCACAACCUUCUCUGUGUCUUAGUGAUCACAAGACUGAGCACAUUUCCUGUUCGCUGAAUAAGCUCUAUUCAAUACAAAUAAAUUAAAGAGGAAUAAGCAAAUUGCUUUAACGUUGUGAUUGCUCAUUAAGACUCUGAAAAAUACUCAAGAGCAUAGACUUGUUCCCUUAGAAAUACGAUCAACAGGUCAUUGAAAUCUUUGAACAUUAAGUAACUGCUAUGUGUAGAAGUGUUAUAUUGACAUUGUUACUGUGGAUCUCAUUUUCUCGCUGUUUUGAUAAUUUUUACUCCACAUUCCAUUAAAAUUAUUAUUUUAAAAAAUUAACACAAAGGCUUUCCCUUCCUCUGUGAUGGGCACCAGACCAAAGUUGAUGUGCAAUAGAAAGGAAAUAUUAAUCAGAGUGCAAAGCAGUGGAAAGAUCCCCACUGCUUUGCAGAUUAGAAAUGGAUGUCAGGAAGUUUCCUGCAGGAGGCCAUGUUAUUUCUUUACUCUCUUUGUAAAGAAACAAUUUACAAAAAAUGUUGAGUCUUGCCCUAGGAGGAAGGCGGUCCUGGAGACAAUGGCUUUGCCCUGAAGAAGACCAUGCUGUUGAACACCAUAUAAAUGAUGUGGCAGUGAGAGCCGAAGGCUGUGGGAUCUGAGAGCUGGCUCAGCCUCACUGCCCACCAGUCAUGGGAUCUUGGUGAAAUCACCAAUUCCUCUGAGCCCCAGUUUCCUCAUCUGUAACGUGGAUUUCAUAAAAAUCACUUCUUGUAUUGUAAGCGUUGAAAGCAUGAAUAUACAUAUAAUGUAAAUAAUUUCUCAUUGGAUAAAUCACAUGAAAAGUACUCAAUAAAUAAAACAUUAUUGUUUG
RNAcentral lists this long non-coding RNA (1829 nucleotides) under Homo sapiens (human). RNAcentral describes it as "HSALNT0082348". Lineage: Eukaryota; Metazoa; Chordata; Mammalia; Primates; Hominidae. The record is from RNAcentral.